Molecule: unclassified non-coding RNA, 1849 nt
Filed under: Leishmania donovani
Lineage: Eukaryota; Euglenozoa; Kinetoplastea; Trypanosomatida; Trypanosomatidae
Description: gene:LdHU3.16.2010(CDS-product:U1_small_nuclear_r ibonucleoprotein_putative)
Source: RNAcentral
UGCUCACGAGCCGCGGCACGCCACGCAUAGGGCCACGCCGUUGCAUCCACGAUAAGCUCACUUGCGUGUGCACGCCCCUGCGUGCACACCGAGGGCGAGUGCGGAACCCUAUCGGCCUGCCCCUUUCUCCCCUGGUUCACCUGCAGCGGUGCACGAAACAAAACGAGCACGAGACACCACGCACAGCUGCAACCACCCAUCCACUACACACACACACACAUUUCUCUUCCAAUAUAUAUAUUAUGGAGUGUGAUGAAGAAGCGUCGCGACUGCAGCGCAAAAGGGUGGCGGCGCAUCAGCGGCAGGAGAUGCAUGCCGCGUGGAAGCGCACUUUCUUUCAGGCGAGGCCGCCGCCGCCUUCGAUUGGUCGACUGCACCGACGCCAGCAGGGAAUCACCAAAGGCCACUCGUGCUACAAUGCCUUCAAUACCGCACUGGCGCUGGCGAAGCAGGCGGAUGAGGACGAGCCCACUCGUGAUGCCAAGGUAGAAGCCCCGCUGCCAUCUUCGCCAACACUCACGACAAGUGCAACAGCGACUGCGGCUGGCACAUUGUCGAAGCAGGAGGCGUGGGCGGCCCAGCUGCAGGGCGAGAAUGAGCGGCGCAACCCUUUCACGGACCUCAACGUCCGCUCAGACCCCUUGCGCACUGUUGUCAUGGCCAACUUGCAUCCCGAGACGGUCGAGGAGGACUUGCGUCACUUUUCGGAUCAGUUCGGCCGCGUGCUGAGCGUGCGCAUUGUGCGCCACUACAAGACCGGCAAGAGUCGUCGUUACGCCUUUGUGGAGUUCAACCUCGUCGGGGAGGCCCGCAAAGCCGUCCAGUUUCACCGCAAGAAGCGACUGAAGGGCUACUCGAUCAUCAUCGACUGGGAGAAGGGCCGCACUGAGCCGGGCUUUCUGCCGAAGCGACUUUUGGCCGCCUCAUCCUUUUGGACCCCCCCUGCGAAUGAGGCGGGCUCUGCGACCUCAACCGAGAUAGAGCAGGCGAAAAAUGUGGAUACUGCGGCGCUGGGCACCGAGGGCGCCAAGGUGGCGCCCUCGAUGCCAGAGAAUGAUGAUGACUUCCUCAACGCCAUUUUGAACAGCUGAGCAAUGCAGCCCCACUUGCGGAGACUUUGGAGAGGUGGGAACCAAACACGCAGUGCCGCGUGCGAGUGUGCGGGGGUGCUUCAUGGGCCCUCUUUUCCACUCGUCGAGCUGCGUCUUGACGUGGUUGUUCUUGUGUUCGCGGUUUCUCUAUCUCCAUGUGCUCCCCAUCUAAGCACACUAAACCACCUUGUAAAGGUGAGAAGGGAAGCGACGCUUCGAACCACCCAGGGCUGCCCAUUUUCAUGGAGGCUGGCGCACGGGUGACUACACAGCGUCUGGCAAGGGGCUCGAGGGAGGGAGAGUGUGGAUACGUCGCCUCUAAGCGCGUUUUCCAGAGAUGUGGUGUGGCUGUAUCUCUCGUACGGAAGCCGCUCUUCUUCCGUUUAUCGUCGUGCAUCUGUGCCGGUGCCUGCGAGGGCGGGUGGAGGGGAGAGAAGGGCACUGUCGCCGUCUGACCCUCCUCUCUCUUGUACCGCUGCUCAUGCGGAAGCCUUCACCCUGCUCGAGCCAGCGAUUAUUCUAGUAAGGAUCGCCCGCAUGAGCGCACAGAGGCCUACGCAGCCCACUCUCGCAUGCACACGCGCGCCCCCUUUAGCUUUCCUUCUUCACCUCUGCCAUUCACCGCCUGCCUCUCUCUCUCCUGCGUUGCACGCACGUGCGUUCUCUUUGAUUUUGCCGCCGCUUCGGGUGCUGCCUUGAUUCUCUUGGUGAUCGGCCUUGCUCGUGCCCCCUACCCCUCUUCCACUUUCGUGACACAG